Long non-coding RNA from Corythoichthys intestinalis (scribbled pipefish), 1494 nucleotides. RefSeq lists it as uncharacterized. The transcript is spliced from 3 exons. The record is from RefSeq and is a predicted model, not a curated record. NCBI's taxonomy places the organism in Eukaryota, Metazoa, Chordata, Actinopteri, Syngnathiformes, Syngnathidae.
AGGAUUAGGGCCAAAUCAAGGAGAGAAAAAAAAAAAAAAAGAAAAAGGACGACGAGAUUAAAACCGUACUGGUACUACAAGACUAAACUCAUUACAUAGCGUAACCGCUACGCACAUUACGUACAUGUACCGUAGCUGAGCGCUACGACGAAGCAUCAAUACAAAGCAAUCUAUUGAUUAUAAUUUUAUGUAGAUGAGCCAAAAGAUAACGUGUUUCUUUAUUUAUGAAGCAAAUUAUAAAAUAUAGGCUCAGGAAAAGCACAAUAUCACCCGAAUACGCUAUGACGUCACUUACGGCGUACGUAACGUUAUAUUGACUUGGAACAACAGCGUGCAUCUCGAGAGCGGUGGUGAUUCUGUACUUCUGGAUUGUUUCAAAAAGACGUUUUGGUGCAUUGGCAUCAAAUUACAAUCAAUAUAAAGAGUCAUACACGUCGUGGCUCCCAGCCAAGUUCCCGAUUUUCUUGUUUAUUCAAUUCCACCGAUCCAAGAUGGCAAAGAACUUGUUGGAAAUUGUGACUUUCCUGAGACGUCGGAGUGUAUCAGAGGAAACAAUCAAUUGGAUUGAACAGCAAAAGAUUGACAGCGAGGUCAUCCUACUGAUGGAAGAUGCUCAACUGGCGAAUUAUCUCCCAUCAUAUGGAGACAGGAUUGCUCUCUUUAACUUUUGCAAUCACCAACCACAGUCAUCAAAGCGAAAGCAGGGACUAUUUGAAAAGCUAAGUGAGAAGCUCAAACUUAGAAAGGAAAACCAUACAGAGAGUGAGGAAGCAAUCACCUCCAAUAAAACAAAAAGACCUAAACCAAAAACAAGAAAGCUUGAAAUAGGGUGGAUUCACACUGAAGGCCAACUGACCUAACAAAUCAGAGCAAAACAAGGCGGAGGGACAAGAAAGAUCUCAAUUCGAAGUGAAGAAGGUUAUAGUGAGAUACUAAAACAAGGAAAAGUCACUUUUCUUUCGAUACUUUUCUAGUCGAUAUUUUGACGACAGAUGUUGCUGUCUGAUUCCAUUCAGUUUGAAAUACUCAAACUGUUCUUUUCAAAAUCACUCCAUGAAGGGAAUACUGUAUUCACAUAAAGAUAAUCAGAAACACAAUUGUUCAAUACCAACAUUUACAGUUUUACUACGUUAAAUGUACAGUAGUCUGCUACUGCACCAUAUUUACAUAGAUGAGUUUUACUGUUACACGUACAGUAUAUGUCACAUUACGAUGUUGUGUACGAUGUUACAGUUAACCUUUAAAGAAGACCAGUAUUACAAUGCUACAUGUAAACAGUAUAUGUAACUGUGUUACAAAUCAUUCUUAUUAUUUACAAUUUACCAUUAUAUACCAUGUUAUAUGUAUAUUUAUGUAACAUUGGCUUGGUAAUGUAACUGUUUAACAGUUAAUUGUGCUAUUUACAGAUAAUGUGAAUCAUUGCUUAAAAUUUCACUGCUUCUUUCUUGGGGACCUUGGCUGAGUGAACAUUUCAAAGGGUCGCUCGCAUUUGUU